RNAcentral lists this ribosomal RNA (560 nucleotides) under uncultured bacterium. RNAcentral's name for it is "bacterial SSU rRNA". It matches the Rfam family "Bacterial small subunit ribosomal RNA", at positions 65 to 609 of the family's 1533-position model. The record is from RNAcentral.
AACGAUUAAAGCCCCUUCGGGGGUGUAUAAAGUGGCGAACGGGUGAGUAACAGGUGGAUAAUCUACCUUUCGGUGGGGGACAACGGUUGGAAACGGCCGCUAAUACCGCAUACGAUUGCGAGAACCUCGGUUCACGCAAGGAAAGGCGCCUCAAAGCGCCGCCGAAUGAUGAGUCCGCCCCCCAUUAGCUUGUUGGUGUGAUAAAAGCGCACCAAGGCGACGAUGGGUAGCCGGACUGAGAGGUUGGCCGGCCACACUGGGACUGAGACACGGCCCAGACACCUACGGGUGGCAGCAGUAGGGAAUAUUGCGCAAUGGGCGAAAGCUUGACGCAGCCAUGCCGCGUGGAUGACGAAGGCCUUCGGGUCGUAAAGUCCUUUUCUGAGGGAAGAACAUCCCGGGUAGGAAAUGGCCCGGGCUUGACGGUACCUCAGGAAUAAGCAACGGCUAACUCCGUGCCAGCAGCCGCGGUAAUACGGAGGUUGCAAGCGUUGUUCGGAUUUACUGGGCGUAAAGGGAGCGCAGGCGGCUUGGUCAGUCUAAAGUGAAAUCCCGGGGCU